AUCAAGCUACUAAGAGCUUACGGUGGAUGCCUUGGUGCCAGGAGUCGACGAAGGGCGUGACAGGCUGCGAUAAGCUUCGGGGAGCCGCUUAAUAGGCUUUGAUCCGGAGAUUCCCGAAUCGGGCAACCGAGCAGGUUAAUCCCUGCUACUCGUGUUUACACGAGGGACAACCAGGAGAAGUGAAACAUCUCAGUACCCUGAGGAAAAGAAAGAAAACCUCGAUUCCCCCAGUAGCGGCGAGCGAAAAGGGAAGAGCCCAAACCCGGUAUAUGUUCAAGCCUGAACGCGUUGUAUAUCGGGGGUUGUGGGGUUCGUUAGGUGUGGGUUCAGACACGCCGGAGAGGACCGUGCUUCUAGUCUAAUGUCUCUGGAAAGAGCAACCGGAGCGGGUAAAAGUCCCGUGGACGAAAGAAGUGGCGCCUUUCAACGAGUACCCCAAGUACUACGGGAUAGACAAACCUGUAGGAAUCUAGGAGGACCACCUCCUAAGGCUAAAUACUCCCUGGCGACCGAUAGUGAACGAAGUACUGUGAAGGAAGUGGUGAAAAGUUCCCCCAUUAGGGAAGUGAAAAGCCCCUGAAACCGUAUAGCUUACAAGCUGUGGUAGUGCUAAGUCACGCAAGUGACAUGCAUGACCGCGUGCCUUUUGCAUAAUGAGCCGGCGACUUACUCUGUGUAGCAAGAUUAAGCAUCUUUGAUGUGGAGUCGUAGCGAAAGCGAGUCUGAAUAGGGCGUUGAGUUGCAUGGAGUAGACCCGAAACCAAGUGAUCUAUCCAUAGGCAAGGUGAAGCAUAUGUAAAAAUAUGUGGAGGCCUGAACCCACCAAUGCUGAAAAAUUGGGGGAUGACCCGUGGAUCGGAGUGAAAGGCUAAUCAAACUUGGUGAUAGCUGGUUCUCCCCGAAAUAGCUUUAGGGCUAGCCUUAUGCGUUCGGCAGUGGCGGUAGAGCUCUAAUUGGACUCGCGGCCCCACCAGGUUAGCAACUCCAGUUAAACUGCAAAUGCCAUUGUCCUAAGCAUGGGAGUCAGUCAGUAGGGGAUAAGCUCUAUUGACGAAAGGGAAACAGCCCAGACCACCAGCUAAGGUCCCUAAAUACACGCUAAGUGGUAAAGGAUGUUUUGUUGCUGAGACAGCCAGGAUGUUGGCGUAGAAGUGGCAAUCAUUUAAAGAGUGUGUAAUAACUCACUGGUUGAGCGACUUUGCACCGAAGAUUUCCGGGGCUAAGCGUGUUACCGAAGCUGUGGAUGUUCCAGAAGGGUUCCGUCAGGGGCCCGUAUGGGGUGUGGUAGGGGAGCGUUCUAUAGUAGGACUGAAGGAGAACCGUAAGGUGCUCUGGACGAAUUAGAAGUGAUUAUGCCGGCAUGAGUAACGAUAAAACAAGUGAAAAGCUUGUUCGCCGAAAGCCUAAGGAUUCCUGAGCAAGGUAAAUCCCCUCAGGGUUAGUCGGAUCCUAAGCCGAGGCCGAAAGGCGUAGGCGAUGGGAAGCAGGCAUAAUAUUCCUGCACCACCAUGAUACGGACGAAACUAGGGGAGACGCAGACAAUAAGGACUACCAGCUGAUGGAUAUGCUGGGUUAAGCCCGUCGGAGCGCACCAGGCAAAUCCGGUGCAUUAUGCUCCUCAGGGUGAACAGGAUUCCGUAAGGAUGCAAACUGUCUCCACGGUCUGCCAAGAAAAGAACCUCGAGUGGACAACUCAUGGUGACCGUACCGUAAACCGACACAGGUAGGCGAGGAGAGAAUCCUAAGGCGCUCGAGAGAACUCUCGCUAAGGAACUCGGCAAAAUUACCCCGUAACUUCGGGAGAAGGGGUGCUUUGAGUAGGGUUUCUGAAAAAAGCCGCAGUGAAAUGGCCCAUGCGACUGUUUACUAAAAACACAGGUCUCUGCUAAAUCGCAAGAUGAUGUAUAGGGACUGACGCCUGCCCGGUGCCAAAAAGUUAAGGUGAGGAG
This 1949-nucleotide ribosomal RNA is filed under the name Candidatus Poribacteria bacterium. RNAcentral's name for it is "partial 23S ribosomal RNA". It matches the Rfam family "Bacterial large subunit ribosomal RNA", at positions 1 to 1889 of the family's 2925-position model. Lineage: Bacteria; Candidatus Poribacteria. The record is from RNAcentral.